Long non-coding RNA from Acanthopagrus latus (yellowfin seabream), 376 nucleotides. RefSeq lists it as uncharacterized. Lineage: Eukaryota; Metazoa; Chordata; Actinopteri; Spariformes; Sparidae. The transcript is spliced from 3 exons. The record is from RefSeq and is a predicted model, not a curated record.
CAGGCAUGUUACAAUGACAGAGGUGUUAGGUGCAAAGUAACAGGGAAAUGUUAAACAGUCCUGAGAAGAGUUCUAAUCGACACAUACAGUGAAAACACCUGGAGGUUGACCCUGAGCAAUGAUCCCUGCAGUGAUGUCGGCCUGGAUGAAGCGAUCGACGAUGACACCGCUCCGGAGAACCACACCAUGAUACGGCUGCCGGGCGAUCAGGAAGCUGAGGACCGGCUUCAAGCCAGGAGCCAACACCGGGACCUCGUCAUUGACGGGUUUCACCUGGAGAAGACAGCGAGAUAAACAAAAAAAGAAGAAUCAACAGUGGAUGGCAUUCGGAUUGUGCAUUCCAUAAAGGAGGCCCGUUAUUUUGUGAAAUGAGGAG